This 314-nucleotide ribosomal RNA is filed under the name Clostridioides difficile. RNAcentral describes it as "partial 23S ribosomal RNA". It matches the Rfam family "Bacterial large subunit ribosomal RNA", at positions 613 to 925 of the family's 2925-position model. The record is from RNAcentral. Lineage: Bacteria; Bacillati; Bacillota; Clostridia; Peptostreptococcales; Peptostreptococcaceae.
GAACGGGCCAACGAGUUACGUUAAGUAGCAAGGUUAAGCACUUAAGGUGUGGAGCCGUAGCGAAAGCGAGUUUUAACUGAGCGUUCAGUUACUUGACGUAGACCCGAAACCGGGCGACCUACCCAUGAGCAGGAUGAAGCGAAAGUAAAAGUUCGUGGAGGUCCGAACCCACGAGCGUUGAAAAGCUCGGGGAUGACUUGUGGGUAGCGGUGAAAUUCCAAUCGAGCCCGGAGAUAGCUGGUUCUCCCCGAAAUAGCUUUAGGGCUAGCCUCAAGGUGAGAGAUACGGAGGUAGAGCACUGAAUGUCCUAGGGG